AUGUGACGUCAUAUACUACUUUGUUUAAAAAAUGACGUAAUCAACCGGUAGCAACUGCCGUGUACAUCCUAAUAUUAACCAAUGAAAAGGGCGGAUUAGUGUCUACACACAUGUGGUAGACGGUUUUUCUACCACCCCUUUCUAGCACCUUUCUACAACGUCAUUGUGCUAGAAAUAGCCGCCUGCUUACUUACAGAUCUAAAUUGUCAAGCUACAGUGAUUUAUUGUUCAUUCACCAUACCACUUCAAUCAGCAUUACAACCAUAAUGUCGACAAUCCCACCGAGAAUGAUCCAAACCAUUGACCUCUACAACUACACAUGUUCAGAUGGACUUCUAAUACCAGCAAUAAAUGAGUACACGUGGUCCACUGGUGUCCGGGCAUUCCUCUAUUUCAGCGGUCUUCUCUGGUGCUUUUUAGGGGUGGCCAUCAUCGCAGAUGUCUUCAUGAGUUCCAUUGAACACAUCACUAGUAAAACAUCUACAAUUUACAUCCAUGAUGCAUCAGCUCCUGGUGGCGUGAGAACACUGGAAGUGAAGUUCUGGAAUGAUACAGUGGCCAAUCUGAGUCUUCUUGCUUUGGGAACUAGUGCCCCUGAGUGCCUUCUUCCUGUUAUAGAAAUCCUUGGCCAUAACUUUGUAGCUGGCGAGAUGGGUCUGGGAACUAUCGUAGGAACAGCUGCCUAUAAUCUGUUGGUGAUAACGGCCAUCUGCAUUGUAGUUAUACCUGCUGGUGAGAUCAGACGAGUUAAGAGUAUCACGGUGUUUCUUGUGAUGGGCUUUAUGUGCGUGUUCGCCUACGUCUGGCUAGCGCUCGUUCUUCUCGUCAUAUCUCCAGGAAUCGUCAAGCUGUGGGAGGCCAUAGUGACCCUCUUGAUGUUUCCACUGCUCAUCUUUGUGGCGUACCUUGCUCAAAGGGACUUCCACUUCAAGGGGAAGAGGGUACAUGUAAAGCAAUGGCCAGGACCAAUUGCUAUUGAAACGGUUAAGAGGGGCCACAAACCACCAUCGUUGAACUAGUCUGAAGGGAGUAUAAUGAGAUGCCAGAGUGAUACAGCUGCCACUAAACAGCAAGAUAAAUCGGUGAUAACACCCUUUAGACCAACAGAUAAAUACCAUGGUAUUGUUGAUAUGAUGAAACUGGCCAAGAAUCUUGGGGCGCAUAC
This 1165-nucleotide unclassified non-coding RNA is filed under the name Gigantopelta aegis. Its description in RNAcentral is "sodium/calcium exchanger 2-like, transcript variant X2". The record is from RNAcentral. Lineage: Eukaryota; Metazoa; Mollusca; Gastropoda; Neomphalida; Peltospiridae.